This 578-nucleotide ribosomal RNA is filed under the name uncultured Hyphomicrobiales bacterium. RNAcentral describes it as "bacterial SSU rRNA". It matches the Rfam family "Bacterial small subunit ribosomal RNA", at positions 112 to 725 of the family's 1533-position model. Lineage: Bacteria; Pseudomonadati; Pseudomonadota; Alphaproteobacteria; Hyphomicrobiales. The record is from RNAcentral.
AACGCGUGGGAAUCUACCUUGAGCUACGGGAUAACAGAGAGAAAUUUCUGCUAAUACCGUAUGUGGCCUUUGGGCNAAAGAUUUAUCGGCUUAAGAUGAGCCCGCGUUGGAUUAGCUGGUUGGUGGGGUAAAGGCCUACCAAGGCGACGAUCCAUAGCUGGUCUGAGAGGAUGAUCAGCCACACUGGGACUGAGACACGGCCCAGACUCCUACGGGAGGCAGCAGUGGGGAAUAUUGGACAAUGGGCGCAAGCCUGAUCCAGCCAUGCCGCGUGAGUGAAGAAGGCCUUAGGGUUGUAAAGCUCUUUCACCGGUGAAGAUAAUGACGGUAGCCGGAGAAGAAGCCCCGGCUAACUUCGUGCCAGCAGCCGCGGUAAUACGAAGGGGGCUAGCGUUGUUCGGAUUUACUGGGCGUAAAGCGCGCGUAGGCGGAUAGAUAAGUCAGAGGUGAAAUCCCGGGGCUCAACCCCGGAAUUGCCUUUGAUACUGUUUAUCUUGAGUGCAGAAGAGGUAAGUGGAAUUCCGAGUGUAGAGGUGAAAUUCGUAGAUAUUCGGAGGAACACCAGUGGCGAAGGCGGC